Molecule: long non-coding RNA, 293 nt
Filed under: Brassica napus (rape)
Lineage: Eukaryota; Viridiplantae; Streptophyta; Magnoliopsida; Brassicales; Brassicaceae
Description: long non-coding RNA (BNAP_LNC011505)
Source: RNAcentral
CCUAUUGUUGUGUCUAUCUUAAUACUAAUACCACUCAAUCUUGCUAAACUAAUUUUCCGACUCAAUGGGUGUAAAAGUUUGGAUCUUCCUCUGGUGAAAUGUGGGUAAGCGCUCUCUGAUUCACACAGUCACAAAAUUAAGGAAAUUCAUCAAACUAAAUCAACUGUGUUUCGAUUGACCUUGGGGGGUUUCGAUUGUCGACGGAUUAGAAAAGAAGUUGAGAGUAAAAAAGGAAGCACGAGAAAGGAUACGAGGUCUUCCACUGCACUUGCCUCCUUCGCUAACAAUGCCGC